This 1887-nucleotide long non-coding RNA is filed under the name Homo sapiens (human). RNAcentral's name for it is "non-protein coding lnc-ANKRD33B-15:1". The record is from RNAcentral. Lineage: Eukaryota; Metazoa; Chordata; Mammalia; Primates; Hominidae.
GGGGUCCCCGACUGGCUGCGGGGACUGGAGUUGCGGAAAGUUAAGUAGGGCCCAGCUGAGGAUGGCUCCUGCAGCGAACGCGCUCAGCCGGGCUCCUGGCUACGCGGCGACGGCUGGGUGACUGCGCCCCACAGUGCGGGCCAGGGCCGGGGCGUCCCGGCAGGGAGGCGACCGUCCCCUGAGGCCCUCAGCCCCUGCCGCGGCAGCGCCUAAUGAAGCGCGGAAAGGAGAGCCCAGAUGGCAGCGACGGGGGCCGAGAGAGCAGGAAUUUGUUAAAAGACGAUGCGAGGGGAGAGCCUGCUUUCCGAGUGAGGGCCAGCGCUGGGGAGCAGAGACGGUGGCUUCUGUCCCUGCCCUCCUCGUUAUGAACCAAAAAUAAAAUUCUAAGCCCUGCAGCCAACGGAUGGACCCUCCCCUCCGCCUGUGGCCUUCUAAGUUAUCUUGAAAAACUAGUUCAGGCCUUGAUGGGAAGCGGAAGUCAAACAUGGCCUCACAAACAUCCGCACGGAGACCCUAAGACUAAUAGAGGACUCUGAUAAGAAACAUUUGCAGUGUAUUCCCGGCUUCAUCUGCAUGAUAACACCUUGGUCUCCACAACUCCUUCAUGCAACCCGGACAUUCCCUUCUACUGAGUCCAGGUCUUUAGAUGAUAACUCUCAACCAGUUGCCAAUCAGAAAACCUUUAAAUGUACCUAUGACCCGGACGCCUCCACUUCACAUUUUACCUCCUAAAGAGCCAACCUACAUCUUACGUAUUGAUUGAUGUCUCAUGUCUCCCUCAAAUGUAUAAAACCAAGAUGUUUCCUGGCCACCCUGGGCACAUGUCAUCAGAACCUCCUGAGGUUGUGUCAAUGCACGUCCUUAACCUUGGCAAAAUAAACUUCCUAAAUUGAGACCACUCUCAGAAACUUUUGGUUUUCACCAUCAUCUUCCUGUUGCCGUGGCUGACCCCUGGCUCUCGUGCCUUGGAUCGUGUUCUUCCCGCCUGCCCCAGUGUUUUGCAACUGCUGUUAACUUCCGCAAUGCCUUGCUGGAUUCGCAUUCAGACAGGCCUAAUCUCUUUAGCGAAGGAAACACCACCCCUCGCUUGGCUGUACUUUUCCCUUUGACAACAAAACUGUUCAGGGAGGCUGAGCUCCUCAUCUCUUGUCACUCCCUCCAGUCCAGUUUGUCUGGUUUUCAUCAAGUUCUGCUGCACUGCCCUCAACCAUGGGAGGUCCUUUUGUGGAAGUCACUUAUAACCUAUGUGCUGCCAGAUCCAAUGGUCAUUUUCUACUUUCAUUCUAUUUGAGCUCUUAGCAGCACUUGAUGCAGCUGGCCGUCCCCCUCCUCCUUUGCUCCGGAGGUGCCACAUCACUGCCUUACCCUCCAGUUCUCUGGCCACCCUGGCUGCUCACUCUGUCAGCUUGGCAGUUCGCCCUCUUCUAGAUUUAUAAACAUUUGAGUAUCGCAAGGCUCAGCAUUGGCCUUCUUCUCUAUCUAGACUUCCCAUAGAUAGUCACAUGCAGCCUGUGGACGACUAUCAUGCAGAUGCUUACAGGUGCCAAAUCUGCAACCUCAUUUCUCUAUUUCUGCUCCUCCCCUGAACUCCAGACUCACCACCACCACCACCUGCAGACGCUUAUGGGUGCCACAUCUGCAACUUAAUUUCUCUCUUUCUGCCCCUCCACUGAACUCCAAACUCACCACCGCCACCUUGGCUUCUCUAUUUGUUGUCUAACUCAGUGCUGCGCAACUCUGUGCAUCAGGGCACACAUGGAGAUGCACAUAGCAUACAUUGGUCUUGCAUUCCCCACUCCAUACACACAUUUCAACACCGGUAAUAGGAUAAUUGUUGGCCAGGCUGCAGUCAUGAUAUGCUUGCCAUUGUCUUGCAUUCACAUCCAA